GACGAACGCUGGCGGCGUGCUUAACACAUGCAAGUCGAACGGAAAGGCCCUUCGGGGUACUCGAGUGGCGAACGGGUGAGUAACACGUGGGUGAUCUGCCCUGCACUUUGGGAUAAGCCUGGGAAACUGGGUCUAAUACCGAAUAUGAUCAUCGGCUUCAUGGUCGGUGGUGGAAAGCUUUUGCGGUGUGGGAUGGGCCCGCGGCCUAUCAGCUUGUUGGUGGGGUAAUGGCCUACCAAGGCGACGACGGGUAGCCGGCCUGAGAGGGUGACCGGCCACACUGGGCCUGAGAUACGGCCCAGACUCCUACGGGAGGCAGCAGUGGGGAAUAUUGCACAAUGGGCGCAAGCCUGAUGCAGCGACGCCGCGUGGGGGAUGACGGCCUUCGGGUUGUAAACCUCUUUCAGCACAGACGAAGCGCAAGUGACGUUAUGUUCAGAAGAAGGACCGGCCAACUACGUG
RNAcentral lists this ribosomal RNA (462 nucleotides) under uncultured bacterium. RNAcentral's name for it is "partial 16S ribosomal RNA". It matches the Rfam family "Bacterial small subunit ribosomal RNA", at positions 28 to 507 of the family's 1533-position model. The record is from RNAcentral.